This 494-nucleotide ribosomal RNA is filed under the name uncultured bacterium. RNAcentral describes it as "partial 16S ribosomal RNA". It matches the Rfam family "Bacterial small subunit ribosomal RNA", at positions 28 to 507 of the family's 1533-position model. The record is from RNAcentral.
GACGAACGCUGGCGGCGCGCUUAACACAUGCAAGUCGAACGGAAAGGCCUGCUUUCCCUUGUGGAUUGCGGGUACUCGAGUGGCGAACGGGUGAGUAACACGUGAGUGAUCUGCCCCCAACUUGGGUAUAAGCCUGGGAAACUGGGUCUAAUUCCCGAUAGGACUGCAGGGUGGUGCCUGUGGUGGCAAACGAUUUUCUAGUGGUUGGGGAUGAGCUCGCGGCCUAUCAGCUUGUUGGUGGGGUAAUUGCCUACCAAGGCGGCGACGGGUAGCCGGCCUGGGAGGGUGGACGGCCACAUUGGGACUGAGAUACGGCCCAGACUCCUACGGGAGGCAGCAGUGGGGAAUAUUGCACAAUGGGCGGAAGCCUGAUGCAGCGACGCCGCGUGGGGGAUGACGGCCUUCGGGUUGUAAACUCCUUUCGACCGCGAGGAAGCCACCUGGUUGGAAGGGUGGUGACGGUAGUGGUAGAAGAAGCACCGGCUAACUACGUG